GACGAACGCUGGCGGCGUGCUUAACACAUGCAAGUCGAACGGAAAGGCCCUGCUUUUGUGGGGUGCUCGAGUGGCGAACGGGUGAGUAACACGUGAGUAACCUGCCCUUGACUUUGGGAUAACUUCAGGAAACUGGGGCUAAUACCGGAUAGGAGCUCCUGCUGCAUGGUGGGGGUUGGAAAGUUUCGGCGGUUGGGGAUGGACUCGCGGCUUAUCAGCUUGUUGGUGGGGUAGUGGCUUACCAAGGCUUUGACGGGUAGCCGGCCUGAGAGGGUGACCGGCCACAUUGGGACUGAGAUACGGCCCAGACUCCUACGGGAGGCAGCAGUGGGGAAUAUUGCACAAUGGGCGGAAGCCUGAUGCAGCAACGCCGCGUGCGGGAUGACGGCCUUCGGGUUGUAAACCGCUUUCGCCUGUGACGAAGCGUGAGUGACGGUAAUGGGUAAAGAAGCACCGGCUAACUACGUGCCAGCAGCCGCGGUGAUACGUAGGGUGCGAGCGUUGUCCGGAUUUAUUGGGCGUAAAGGGCUCGUAGGUGGUUGAUCGCGUCGGAAGUGUAAUCUUGGGGCUUAACCCUGAGCGUGCCUUCGAUACGGGUUGACUUGAGGAAGGUAGGGGAGAAUGGAAUUCCUGGUGGAGCGGUGGAAUGCGCAGAUAUCAGGAGGAACACCAGUGGCGAAGGCGGUUCUCUGGGCCUUUCCUGACGCUGAGGAGCGAAAGCGUGGGGAGCGAACAGGCUUAGAUACCCUGGUAGUCCACGCUGUAAACGGUGGGUACUAGGUGUGGGGUCCAUUCCACGGGUUCCGUGCCGUAGCUAACGCUUUAAGUACCCCGCCUGGGGAGUACGGCCGCAAGGCUAAAACUCAAAGGAAUUGACGGGGCCCCGCACAAGCGGCGGAGCAUGCGGAUUAAUUCGAUGCAACGCGUAGAACCUUACCUGGGUUUGACAUGGAUCGGGAGUGCUCAGAGAUGGGUGUGCCUCUUUUGGGGUCGGUUCACAGGUGGUGCAUGGCUGUCGUCAGCUCGUGUCGUGAGAUGUUGGGUUAAGUCCCGCAACGAGCGCAACCCUUGUUCACUGUUGCCAGCACGCUAUGGUGGGGACUCAGUGGAGACCGCCGGGGUCAACUCGGAGGAAGGUGGGGAUGACGUCAAGUCAUCAUGCCCCUUAUGUCCAGGGCUUCACGCAUGCUACAAUGGCUGGUACAGAGAGUGGCGAGCCUGUGAGGGUGAGCGAAUCUCGGAAAGCCGGUCUCAGUUCGGAUUGGGGUCUGCAACUCGACCUCAUGAAGUCGGAGUCGCUAGUAAUCGCAGAUCAGCAACGCUGCGGUGAAUACGUUCCCGGG
RNAcentral lists this ribosomal RNA (1343 nucleotides) under uncultured bacterium. RNAcentral's name for it is "16S ribosomal RNA". It matches the Rfam family "Bacterial small subunit ribosomal RNA", at positions 28 to 1378 of the family's 1533-position model. The record is from RNAcentral.